UGGGUAGGCGGACUAAUAAGUCAGUGGUGAAAUCUCUCGGCUCAACCGGGAAACUGCCAUUGAUACUGUUAGUCUUGAGUUCGGUUGAGGUAGGCGGAAUGUGUAAUGUAGCGGUGAAAUGCUUAGAUAUUACACAGAACACCAAUUGCGUAGGCAGCUUACUAGACCGACACUGACGCUGAGGCACGAAAGCGUGGGUAGCGAACAGGAUUAGAUACCCUGGUAGUCC
RNAcentral lists this ribosomal RNA (229 nucleotides) under uncultured bacterium. RNAcentral's name for it is "partial 16S ribosomal RNA". It matches the Rfam family "Bacterial small subunit ribosomal RNA", at positions 568 to 796 of the family's 1533-position model. The record is from RNAcentral.